This 68-nucleotide transfer RNA is filed under the name Arborophila mandellii (Chestnut-breasted partridge). Its description in RNAcentral is "tRNA-Phe". It matches the Rfam family "tRNA". Rfam says of the family: Transfer RNA (tRNA) molecules are approximately 80 nucleotides in length. Lineage: Eukaryota; Metazoa; Chordata; Aves; Galliformes; Phasianidae. The record is from RNAcentral.
GCCCCCAUAGCUUAACCCCAAAGCAUGGCACUGAAGAUGCCAAGAUGGUACAAAUCCGCCUGCGGGCA